GGUUAAGCGACUAAGCGUACACGGUGGAUGCCCUGGCAGUCAGAGGCGAUGAAGGACGUGCUAAUCUGCGAUAAGCGUCGGUGAGGUGAUAUGAACCGUUAUAACCGGCGAUUUCCGAAUGGGGAAACCCAGUGUGAUUCGUCACACUAUCAUUAACUGAAUCCAUAGGUUAAUGAGGCGAACCGGGGGAACUGAAACAUCUAAGUACCCCGAGGAAAAGAAAUCAACCGAGAUUCCCCCAGUAGCGGCGAGCGAACGGGGAGGAGCCCAGAGCCUGAAUCAGUGUGUGUGUUAGUGGAAGCGUCUGGAAAGGCGCGCGAUACAGGGUGACAGCCCCGUACACAAAAAUGCACAUGCUGUGAGCUCGAUGAGUAGGGCGGGACACGUGGUAUCCUGUCUGAAUAUGGGGGGACCAUCCUCCAAGGCUAAAUACUCCUGACUGACCGAUAGUGAACCAGUACCGUGAGGGAAAGGCGAAAAGAACCCCGGCGAGGGGAGUGAAAAAGAACCUGAAACCGUGUACGUACAAGCAGUGGGAGCACAGAGCAAUCUGUGUGACUGCGUACCUUUUGUAUAAUGGGUCAGCGACUUAUAUUCUGUAGCAAGGUUAACCGAAUAGGGGAGCCGAAGGGAAACCGAGUCUUAACUGGGCGUUAAGUUGCAGGGUAUAGACCCGAAACCCGGUGAUCUAGCCAUGGGCAGGUUGAAGGUUGGGUAACACUAACUGGAGGACCGAACCGACUAAUGUUGAAAAAUUAGCGGAUGACUUGUGGCUGGGGGUGAAAGGCCAAUCAAACCGGGAGAUAGCUGGUUCUCCCCGAAAGCUAUUUAGGUAGCGCCUCGUGAAUUCAUCUCCGGGGGUAGAGCACUGUUUCGGCAAGGGGGUCAUCCCGACUUACCAACCCGAUGCAAACUGCGAAUACCGGAGAAUGUUAUCACGGGAGACACACGGCGGGUGCUAACGUCCGUCGUGAAGAGGGAAACAACCCAGACCGCCAGCUAAGGUCCCAAAGUCAUGGUUAAGUGGGAAACGAUGUGGGAAGGCCCAGACAGCCAGGAUGUUGGCUUAGAAGCAGCCAUCAUUUAAAGAAAGCGUAAUAGCUCACUGGUCGAGUCGGCCUGCGCGGAAGAUGUAACGGGGCUAAACCAUGCACCGAAGCUGCGGCAGCGACGCUGAUGCGUUGUUGGGUAGGGGAGCGUUCUGUAAGCCUGUGAAGGUGUGCUGUGAGGCAUGCUGGAGGUAUCAGAAGUGCGAAUGCUGACAUAAGUAACGAUAAAGCGGGUGAAAAGCCCGCUCGCCGGAAGACCAAGGGUUCCUGUCCAACGUUAAUCGGGGCAGGGUGAGUCGACCCCUAAGGCGAGGCCGAAAGGCGUAGUCGAUGGGAAACAGGUUAAUAUUCCUGUACUUGGUGUUACUGCGAAGGGGGGACGGAGAAGGCUAUGUUGGCCGGGCGACGGUUGUCCCGGUUUAAGCGUGUAGGCUGGUUUUCCAGGCAAAUCCGGAAAAUCAAGGCUGAGGCGUGAUGACGAGGCACUACGGUGCUGAAGCAACAAAUGCCCUGCUUCCAGGAAAAGCCUCUAAGCAUCAGGUAACAUCAAAUCGUACCCCAAACCGACACAGGUGGUCAGGUAGAGAAUACCAAGGCGCUUGAGAGAACUCGGGUGAAGGAACUAGGCAAAAUGGUGCCGUAACUUCGGGAGAAGGCACGCUGAUAUGUAGGUGAGGUCCCUCGCGGAUGGAGCUGAAAUCAGUCGAAGAUACCAGCUGGCUGCAACUGUUUAUUAAAAACACAGCACUGUGCAAACACGAAAGUGGACGUAUACGGUGUGACGCCUGCCCGGUGCCGGAAGGUUAAUUGAUGGGGUCAGCGCAAGCGAAGCUCUUGAUCGAAGCCCCGGUAAACGGCGGCCGUAACUAUAACGGUCCUAAGGUAGCGAAAUUCCUUGUCGGGUAAGUUCCGACCUGCACGAAUGGCGUAAUGAUGGCCAGGCUGUCUCCACCCGAGACUCAGUGAAAUUGAACUCGCUGUGAAGAUGCAGUGUACCCGCGGCAAGACGGAAAGACCCCGUGAACCUUUACUAUAGCUUGACACUGAACAUUGAGCCUUGAUGUGUAGGAUAGGUGGGAGGCUUUGAAGUGUGGACGCCAGUCUGCAUGGAGCCGGCCUUGAAAUACCACCCUUUAAUGUUUGAUGUUCUAACGUUGGCCCCUGAUCGGGGUUGCGGACAGUGUCUGGUGGGUAGUUUGACUGGGGCGGUCUCCUCCUAAAGAGUAACGGAGGAGCACGAAGGUUGGCUAAUCCUGGUCGGACAUCAGGAGGUUAGUGCAAUGGCAUAAGCCAGCUUGACUGCGAGCGUGACGGCGCGAGCAGGUGCGAAAGCAGGUCAUAGUGAUCCGGUGGUUCUGAAUGGAAGGGCCAUCGCUCAACGGAUAAAAGGUACUCCGGGGAUAACAGGCUGAUACCGCCCAAGAGUUCAUAUCGACGGCGGUGUUUGGCACCUCGAUGUCGGCUCAUCACAUCCUGGGGCUGAAGUAGGUCCCAAGGGUAUGGCUGUUCGCCAUUUAAAGUGGUACGCGAGCUGGGUUUAGAACGUCGUGAGACAGUUCGGUCCCUAUCUGCCGUGGGCGCUGGAGAACUGAGGGGGGCUGCUCCUAGUACGAGAGGACCGGAGUGGACGCAUCACUGGUGUUCGGGUUGUCAUGCCAAUGGCACUGCCCGGUAGCUAAAUGCGGAAGAGAUAAGUGCUGAAAGCAUCUAAGCACGAAACUUGCCCCGAGAUGAGUUCUCCCUGACUCCUUGAGAGUCCUGAAGGAACGUUGAAGACGACGACGUUGAUAGGCCGGGUGUGUAAGCGCAGCGAUGCGUUGAGCUAACCGGUACUAAUGAACCGUGAGGCUUAACCUU
RNAcentral lists this ribosomal RNA (2906 nucleotides) under Escherichia coli. RNAcentral's name for it is "23S ribosomal RNA". It matches the Rfam family "Bacterial large subunit ribosomal RNA". The record is from RNAcentral. Lineage: Bacteria; Pseudomonadati; Pseudomonadota; Gammaproteobacteria; Enterobacterales; Enterobacteriaceae.